Molecule: long non-coding RNA, 795 nt
Organism: Leptinotarsa decemlineata (Colorado potato beetle)
Lineage: Eukaryota; Metazoa; Arthropoda; Insecta; Coleoptera; Chrysomelidae
Source: RefSeq, a predicted model, not a curated record
AAUAAUCAUUUUCAAUAAAUUGAAUUGGAAAAGUAUUUCAUGAUCAGUUUAAGUGUUAUUAUUGAACCGUUUGUUUGCAUUAUUUGGGAACCGAAUAUUGAUAAUGGAGCUGAAGCAAAUCUUCGCUGAGUUCACUUGUCUAUUCAUCUUUCUGACAGUAGCGUAUGGAGCAGUAACCGAAAGAGUUCUUUACGACGUACACGGUAACAUCCUCCAACCAAAAGAAAACCAGUUCAGAGAUCCAAGAGACUGCUGUAUAGUGCCAACUUGUGAGGAAUCCGGCCAUUGCUUCGAAACAAUAAGUUGUGGUCACAUUUGCAGUCAGGGAAAAUACCGACCUGCCUACUACGGGCCGACGGCCGGAUACAGAUUGAAGAGCUUUUAUACGAAAUUUGAAUGUCAUUUUGGAGAAUGUCGGGAUUAUAAGUUUUUGUGUGCCCAUUGUCCAGACCCGAAUAUGUCAGAUUUCAGUAUUUAUACUGUCAGGAAGGACUGUACGAACUGUUAUUAUUGAAGUGGGAGUGUGGCGAAAAACUUCAGAUGAAGACAUACAGAAAAGAACUGUCCAUGAAUGUUCAGUUCAUUUCGGAUCUAAGUCGGUGACCAAUUGAUACUAAAAUGAUAGUAAUGGAUUCAAUUGUUAUAGAUUGAGAUACGUUUUCGUCAGAAGUGAGGUACAAAUCUGAGGUUGUAAAAAUGUGAUAUAUUUUUGAAUCAUAAAUUAUGAUAGUGUUAAGUGAAUUAGUAGCAGAAAAGAUAUUUGUAAGACUCCGGAAAUAAAUGAUAAUAAUAAUA